Callorhinus ursinus (northern fur seal) is the source of this 805-nucleotide long non-coding RNA. RefSeq lists it as uncharacterized. Lineage: Eukaryota; Metazoa; Chordata; Mammalia; Carnivora; Otariidae. The record is from RefSeq and is a predicted model, not a curated record.
GAUGCCUCAGGCCAAGGAAGAUGAAGGUCACGAACUCAUGAGGGCAAGAAAGAAAAGCACAUUCAUCCAUUUGCAAAUAUACUUUUAUGCUUACAACGUUACCCUGGACAAUGGAAGCAAAGGAACCAUGACAGAACUUUAAGUCAAGAAGAGCCAUCUCCAAGCACCCACACCUGAGGGGCCUCCUCUCCUCCGGACCUGACGUAGAUGUUGAAGUCCUGGAUGAGACUUCGGGCGGCCUCGGGGGCCGCUCUCUGGAAUCUGCGUCGUCCCUGUGACUCACUUUGGCCAAGAGAAAGCAGUGCCCGUGAUGCCACAUGAUUUCUGAGGACAGCGCAUAGGGAGCCUUUUGGCUUCCACCUGGGUCUCUUACAAUGCUUGCUCUGGAACAAGCCAGGCAUCGUGUAAGAAGCUGGUUUCUUCUGAGACUGAGAUGGUGUGGAGGGGCCAAGCUAGCCAUGUGGAAAAGUCACAGGAGAAAGCAGUUCGGUCCACCAGACUCUGCUUGGUCCAGCCGUUCCAGCUGAGACCAGCUAGGAGAGUCAGGGUGCUGCCAUCUUGGCCGUACAGCCCAGCUGAACCUGCGUUUGGCUCUCAACCUUGCCACGGUUUGACCGCAACCAUGUGAGACCCCUCGCCCCAGCCACCAAGCGACGCCCGAGCCAGUCAAUCCACAGAACUGCAAGAGCUAAAAAGAAUUUCUUCUCAGCAACUAAACUUUGGGCUUUGUUAUAUGGCAACAGAUAACUGAAACAGUAAAAAAAAUUAUGUGCGUUUUAAUUUAAAAAAUGCAAAUUAAAUUGUA